AUGGGUCCAUAUGUGUGUGAACACGAUAUGUUUGGGGCACAAGGGUGUGUGCGUGCGUGUGUGUGUGAGUCCACUUAUCUGAAUGUGUUUCUGUGUGUGUAUAUGUUUGUUUCUGCUUCCAUCAGGCACUCAGUAGGGGAUCCCAGAGCCAUACUGAGUCGAAGCUUCAGGAGAUGCAGAGACAUAUCUGCAAGGGCCCCAGCAACCAGUGACCUAAACCUACUUGAGAAGCAGUGGAGGACAAAGGAAGAUCCGCACAAACUGAGUCCUGGGUCUGUCUCCCACAAGCAGGACAUCUCAGGAAAGGAUUCCUGCUCCCCAACUCCUAAUGGCCAUAAGGGUGGUCCUGAUUGCUGGGUGACACCAGCCAGAGCAGGGCUUCUCCCCUCCUGAAAGGGGAUGGCGGGAUGUCUGAUGGCAUUUGCCGCAAAAUCCCUCCUGAUUAAUCAGGCUCCUCCAAUUUGUGAGUCAGAAUUUCUUGGGGAGAGAAAUCUGCCUUGAGUGGAAUUAUCCUGAACUCUGAUAUCAAUGCAGGUAAGCUCUUCAAAAAGUAGAGGCAGAUCCUGGGACGCCAGGCUUCCUGGGGCUAGGAAACAAACUGUGUGAGAAGAAAAUGGUUGGACAGGAAAAAAUGCG
This 636-nucleotide long non-coding RNA is filed under the name Sus scrofa (pig). RNAcentral's name for it is "lncRNA (ENSSSCG00045022742.1, ENSSSCG00055029746.1)". The record is from RNAcentral. Lineage: Eukaryota; Metazoa; Chordata; Mammalia; Artiodactyla; Suidae.